CCACAUCACGUUGAAGUCACCUGUUCCUGUACGAUCACCGAAGCUAAUCAAUGGUGAACCUGGUCAAUACCUAGCUGGGUGACCGCUUGGGAAUAUCAGGUGAUGUAGG
Molecule: non-coding RNA, 109 nt
Organism: Acanthosepion pharaonis
Lineage: Eukaryota; Metazoa; Mollusca; Cephalopoda; Sepiida; Sepiidae
Source: the annotation of a GenBank genome assembly